This 253-nucleotide ribosomal RNA is filed under the name uncultured bacterium. Its description in RNAcentral is "partial 16S ribosomal RNA". It matches the Rfam family "Bacterial small subunit ribosomal RNA", at positions 524 to 776 of the family's 1533-position model. The record is from RNAcentral.
UACGUAGGGUGCAGGCGUUAAUCGGAAUUACUGGGCGUAAAGCGUGCGCAGGCGGUUUGCUAAGACAGGUGUGAAAUCCCCGGGCUUAACCUGGGAACUGCGCUUGUAACUGGCAAGCUAGAGUGUGGCAGAGGGGGGUAGAAUUCCACGUGUAGCAGUGAAAUGCGUAGAGAUGUGGAGGAACACCGAUGGCGAAGGCAGCCCCCUGGGUCAAGAUUGACGCUCAUGCACGAAAGCGUGGGGAGCAAACAGG